GGAGGGGUGUCCGAGUGGUCGAAGGAGCACGCUUGGAAAGCGUGUGUGCGGGCAACCGUACCGUGGGUUCGAAUCCCAUCCCCUCCGCCA
RNAcentral lists this transfer RNA (90 nucleotides) under Candidatus Saccharimonadota bacterium. RNAcentral's name for it is "tRNA-Ser". It matches the Rfam family "tRNA". Rfam says of the family: Transfer RNA (tRNA) molecules are approximately 80 nucleotides in length. Their secondary structure includes four short double-helical elements and three loops (D, anti-codon, and T loops). The record is from RNAcentral. Lineage: Bacteria; Candidatus Saccharimonadota.